This 18-nucleotide microRNA is filed under the name Corchorus capsularis. RNAcentral describes it as "sRNA CCACVL1_29607". Lineage: Eukaryota; Viridiplantae; Streptophyta; Magnoliopsida; Malvales; Malvaceae. The record is from RNAcentral.
AUUGAAAAGUUUAGUGAG